This 440-nucleotide ribosomal RNA is filed under the name uncultured bacterium. RNAcentral's name for it is "partial 16S ribosomal RNA". It matches the Rfam family "Bacterial small subunit ribosomal RNA", at positions 338 to 795 of the family's 1533-position model. The record is from RNAcentral.
CCUACGGGGUGCAGCAGUGGGGGAUAUUGCACAAUGGGGGAAACCCUGAUGCAGCGACGCCGCGUGGGUGAAGAAGCGCCUCGGCGCGUAAAGCCCUGUCAGCAGGGAAGAAAAUGACGGUACCUGAAGAAGAAGCCCCGGCUAACUACGUGCCAGCAGCCGCGGUAAUACGGAGGGGGCAAGCGUUAUCCGGAUUUACUGGGUGUAAAGGGGGCGCAGGCGGCGAUGCAAGCCAGGAGUGAAAGCCCGGGGCCCAACCCCGGGACUGCUCUUGGAACUGCGUGGCUAGAGUGCAGGAGGGGCAGGCGGAAUUCCUGGUGUAGCGGGGAAAUGCGUAGAUAUCAGGAGGAACACCGGUGGCGAAGGCGGCCUGCUGGACUGCAACUGACGUUGAGGCCCGAAAGCGUGGGGAGCAAACAGGAUUAGAUACCCGAGUAGUC